UGGAUCCUCCCUGGAUCCGGGAUCCUCCCUGAACCAGCCCCUGCUCCUCCCGGGACCCUCCUGGGAUCCUCCUGGGAUCUGGGAUCCACCCUGGAUCCUCCCUGGAUCAACCCCUGCUCCUCCCGGGAUCCUCCUGGGAUCUGGGAUCCACCCUGGAUCCUCCCUGGAUCCGGGAUCCUCCCUGAACCAGCCCCUGCUCCUCCCAGGAUCUGGGGGUUUUGGGAUCCUCCCUGGAUCAACCCCUGCUCCUCCCGGGAUCCUCCUGGGAUCUGGGAUCCUCCCUGGAUCCGGGAUCCACCCUGAACCAACCCCUGCUCCUCCCAGGAUCCGGAGUUUUGGGAUCCCCCCUGAAUAAAUCCCUUCUUUUCCCACUGAUUUUGUUUUUAUUUUUUUUGGGUGUUUGGGUCAUUCCCGGAGCCCUCAAAUCCCGCCGGAUCCUCCCCUAAAAAAAAUCCCCAAAAUCCCCAAAAUUCCCAAAAUUCCGAGGCUCUUUUCUUCCCAGAUCUGAUUUUAUUGGGGGAUCCGGGAAUUCCGGGAUCGCUUCCCGCUGCCCCGGGAUCCCGGCGGGAAUUUGGGGGGAAAUUCGCCGGGGGAACCCCGGGGGAAUCCCUGGGAAUUCCCGGGAAUUCCCGGAUGGGCUCAUCCCUGCUGGGGCGGGCAGGGCUCCCCGGGACGCUCCAGGUGGAUUCUGGGGCGGAUUCCAGCGGGACUGGGAGGCGGAGAGGGGAUUCCCGGGAAUGCUGAGGGAUUCCUGGGGGAUUCCUGGGAAUGCUGAGGGAUUCCCGGGAAUGCUGAGGGAUUCCCAGGAUUCCCGGGGGAUUCCUGGAAUUCCCGGGGAUGCUGAGGGAUUCCCAGGGGAUUCCUGGAAUUCCUGGGAAUGCUGAGAGAUUCCCGGAAAAUUCCUGGGAAUG
RNAcentral lists this long non-coding RNA (911 nucleotides) under Cyanistes caeruleus (blue tit). RNAcentral's name for it is "lncRNA (ENSCCEG00000007169.1)". The record is from RNAcentral. Lineage: Eukaryota; Metazoa; Chordata; Aves; Passeriformes; Paridae.